Amphiprion ocellaris (clown anemonefish) is the source of this 577-nucleotide long non-coding RNA. RefSeq lists it as uncharacterized. The record is from RefSeq and is a predicted model, not a curated record. The transcript is spliced from 2 exons. Lineage: Eukaryota; Metazoa; Chordata; Actinopteri; Pomacentridae.
GCCGCGAUUCCACAAGCAUCUACUCGGCGCGGUACGGUUCGCCACUAUUGUAUCUGACUCGGCUCGUCUCGGUUUAGUUGUUUUUCCAUAUAGCCUCAUCGUGGGUGGAGUCGUCAUAGCGCAGCGAGCCGAAAGUCCCUUAACGUCAUUUGCGUGCGACACAAACGCAACAUAACGGAGACGAUGGUUCACCUGCUGCUCGGUCUGUGGCUUUCUGUCAGAUUCAGAGUAAUAGAAGAGUCGGAGAAAGCUGAGAGCGGCGAGUCGGAACACAGGAGACACACAGGAGAGUUUGGGAGGCGAUGCAGCAGUAUCAAGCUGAAGACAAGAGGAUAUGAACGAGACGACAUAUGAGGAUGCUCUCUGAUGAGACUUCAUGGGAUUUACCUGAAGCAGCAGCACAUGAGCCUGCAGUGGCACAAGGUGUAGAGGAGGAGGGCAGAGAUGUACAGGAUGCACUGAUGCAGUACAUGUCAUGCAAAAGUUAUUCUUCUCGUUAUACUUCCGUUUUUCUGUCCCCGGACCGCUAUCGUUUUCUUUAAUGCAAUUCUGACAAUAAACUUUUGUACCUUUUGCA